CAAGUCGAACGCACAGCGAAAGGUGCUUGCACCUUUCAAGUGAGUGGCGAACGGGUGAGUAACACGUGGACUACCUGCCUCAAGGCUGGGGAUAACAUUUGGAAACAGAUGAUAAUACCGAAUAAAAAUUAGUGUCGCAUGACAAAAAGUUAAAAGGCGUUUGGGCGUCACCUAGAGAUGGAUCCGCGGUGCAUUAGUUUAGUUGGUUGGGGGUAAAGGCCCUACCCAAGACCAAUGAUGCAUAGCCGAGUUGAGAGGGUGAUCGGCCAACAUUGGGACUGAGACACGGCCCCAAACUCCUACGGGAGGCUGCAGUAGGGGAAUUCUUCCACAAUGGGCGAAAGUCUGAUGGAGCAACGCCGCGUGUGUGAUGAAGGCUUUCGGGUCGUAAAGCUCUGUUGUAUGGGAAGAACAGCUAGAAUAGGAAAUGAUUUUAGUUUGACGGUACCAUACCAGAAAGGGACGGCUAAAUACGUGCCAGCAGCCGCGGUAAUACGUAUGUCCCGAGCGUUAUCCGGAUUUAUUGGGCGUAAAGCGAGCGCAGACGGUUUAUUAAGUCUGAUGUGAAAGCCCGGAGCUCAACUCCGGAAUGGCAUUGGAAACUGGUUAACUUGAGUGCAGUAGAGGUAAGUGGAACUCCAUGUGUAGCGGUGGAAUGCGUAGAUAUAUGGAAGAACACCAGUGGCGAAGGCGGCUUUCUGGUCUGCAACUGACGUUGAGGCUCGAAAGYGUGGGUAGCAAACAGGAUUAGAUACCCUGGUAGUCCACACCGUAAACGAUGAACACUAGGUGUUAGGAGGUUUCCGCCUCUUAGUGCCGAAGCUAACGCAUUAAGUGUUCCGCCUGGGGAGUACGACCGCAAGGUUGAAACUCAAAGGAAUUGACGGGGACCCGCACAAGCGGUGGAGCAUGUGGUUUAAUUCGAAGCAACGCGAAGAACCUUACCAGGUCUUGACAUCCUUUGAAGCUUUUAGAGAUAGAAGUGUUCUCUUCGGAAACAAAGUGACAGGUGGUGCAUGGUCGUCGUCAGCUCGUGUCGUGAGAUGUUGGGUUAAGUCCCGCAACGAGCGCAACCCUUAUUGUUAGUUGCCAGCAUUCAGAUGGGCACUCUAGCGAGACUGCCGGUGACAAACCGGAGGAAGGCGGGGACGACGUCAGAUCAUCAUGCCCCUUAUGACCUGGGCUACACACGUGCUACAAUGGCGUAUACAACGAGUUGCCAACCCGCGAGGGUGAGCUAAUCUCUUAAAGUACGUCUCAGUUCGGAUUGUAGUCUGCAACUCGACUACAUGAAGUCGGAAUCGCUAGUAAUCGCGGA
Molecule: ribosomal RNA, 1318 nt
Filed under: Leuconostoc mesenteroides
Lineage: Bacteria; Bacillati; Bacillota; Bacilli; Lactobacillales; Lactobacillaceae
Description: bacterial SSU rRNA
Rfam family: Bacterial small subunit ribosomal RNA
Source: RNAcentral